CCUACGGGAGGCAGCAGUGAGGAAUAUUGGUCAAUGGACGAGAGUCUGAACCAGCCAAGUAGCGUGAAGGAUGACUGCCCUAUGGGUUGUAAACUUCUUUUAUAUGGGAAUAAAGUUCAGUAUGUAUACUGUUUUGUAUGUACCAUAUGAAUAAGGAUCGGCUAACUCCGUGCCAGCAGCCGCGGUAAUACGUAGGUGGCAAGCGUUAUCCGGAAUGAUUGGGCGUAAAGGGUGCGAAGGCGGAACCAUAAGUCUGAAGUAAAAGCCGUCGGCUAAACCGAUGUAAGCUUUGGAAACUGUGGAUCUGGAGUGCAGGAGAGGACGGUGGAAUUCGAUGUGUAGCGGUAAAAUGCGUAGAUAUAUGGAGGAACACCAGUGGCGAAGGCGGCUGUCUAACCUGUCACUGACGCUGAGGCACGAAAGCGUGGGGAGCAAAUAGGAUUAGAUACCCCAGUAGUC
This 459-nucleotide ribosomal RNA is filed under the name uncultured bacterium. RNAcentral's name for it is "partial 16S ribosomal RNA". It matches the Rfam family "Bacterial small subunit ribosomal RNA", at positions 338 to 795 of the family's 1533-position model. The record is from RNAcentral.